Molecule: ribosomal RNA, 159 nt
Filed under: uncultured bacterium
Lineage: Bacteria
Description: partial 16S ribosomal RNA
Rfam family: Bacterial small subunit ribosomal RNA
Source: RNAcentral
GGCAGGUCAGCAUACUGCCGUGAAUACGUUCCCGGGCCCUUGUACACACCGCCCGUCCACACCAUGAGAGUUGGGAAUACCCGAAGCCUGUGAGCUAACUUUUAGAGGCAGCAGUCGAAGGUAGAAUCAAUGAUUGGGGUGAAGUCGUAACAAGGUAUC